GUCGAGGGGUAACAGGGAAGCUUGCUUCCGCUGACGACCGGCGCACGGGUGCGUAACGCGUAUGCAACCUACCUCUUACAGGGGAAUAGCCCGAAGAAAUUCGGAUUAAUACCCCAUGGUAUUACAGAUUCGCAUGAUGAAGUAAUUAAAGAUUUAUCGGUAAGAGAUGGGCAUGCGUCUGAUUAGACUGUUGGUGAGGUAACGGCUCACCAAGUCGACGAUCAGUAGGGGUUCUGAGAGGAAGAUCCCCCACACUGGCACUGAGAUACGGGCCAGACUCCUGCGGGAGGCAGCAGUAGGGAAUAUUGGUCAAUGGAGGCAACUCUGAACCAGCCAUGCCGCGUGUAGGAAGAAUGCCUUCUGGGUUGUAAACUACUUUUAUAUAGGAAGAAAACGCCAUGCGUGGUAAUAUGACGGUACUAUAUGAAUAAGCACCGGCUAACUCCGUGCCAGCAGCCGCGGUAAUACGGAGGGUGCAAGCGUUGUCCGGAUUUAUUGGGUUUAAAGGGUGCGUAGGCGGUUUAUUAAGUCGGAGUUGAAAUCCCACAGCUUAACUGUGGAACUGGCUCCGAUACUGGUUAACUUGAGUAUGGUUGAGGUAGGCGGAAUUUAAGAUGUAGCGGUGAAAUGCAUAGAUAUCUUAAAGAACACCAAUUGCGUAGGCAGCUUACUGGACCAUAACUGACGCUGAGGCACGAAAGCGUGGGUAGCGAACAGGAUUAGAUACCCUG
RNAcentral lists this ribosomal RNA (731 nucleotides) under uncultured marine bacterium. RNAcentral describes it as "bacterial SSU rRNA". It matches the Rfam family "Bacterial small subunit ribosomal RNA", at positions 61 to 789 of the family's 1533-position model. The record is from RNAcentral.